RNAcentral lists this ribosomal RNA (345 nucleotides) under Triticum aestivum (bread wheat). RNAcentral describes it as "partial small subunit ribosomal RNA". Lineage: Eukaryota; Viridiplantae; Streptophyta; Magnoliopsida; Poales; Poaceae. The record is from RNAcentral.
AUGGGCACCAUCCUGAUGCUUCUGUUCUGCGGCUAUUCUUUGGGGGAACACAACCUUCAAAAGUUUGCCGGGCGCCCUCGCCCUGGCCAUCCGGCACCACCACGAGCUCUUCCUCGAGAGCAUCCGUGCACUUCGCCUGCAACUCCUGGGUGCAGACCACCGGGGAGCUGCCCGGCAACUCCAAGAGCAUCUUCUAUAGCUACAAGCGAUGCUAUUAUGUGGGAUCAAAAGACUGGACGAUCCAGAGGGUCCGGUUUUGUUUCUUUUAGGAAUCAACAGAAUGCACAAACUGCCAUAAAUGAAUUGAUGGUGCACUCCCUGUUGCUUAUUGCUAGCAAUGUCUAA